CGGUGGCUGUAUCACGUAUUUCGCAGACAAUUAGCAGAAGACAAAAUUAAAUAUUGUGCAAAUAUUGCUGUCAACUGUCCAUUUCGUAUUACGGACUUCAACAGAAAAACAGAUCGCGAACCAUCACUAGUGCUGCCUCUGCAGAGCGAUUUGUGAAACUUUAGUGCAUUCUUUUCCAUACAACUAACAACAACUGGCUUAAAGUCGGUAUUACGGAUGCUUUUGUCUGCCACACGACAGCAGAUAUUUAGCAAUUUCGUUUGUCAAAUUUGCGACACCUUUUGUAUCUGGUGCUGAAUUGUUGCUAACUAUCUGCAAGUGUAAAAUUUGUGAAAUUAAAUUAAUUAACUUGAUUUAGGUAUGUACUAUGGACAGAGCUCAAAUAAUAAAUGGGGCUUUGGAGUCUAAGGAAAUUAGGUCGGAUACAUACAAAUCAGUGCGUUUGCGACGCUGUCUUCGUGAUCAAGCUUGACCCUUUUAUCUAUCGGAAAGUUUGUUCAGAACACAUUACAGAAUUUCGAAACAUCAAUAUUUACAAUUGUGCUCUGAAUUAAAGCCGUUAAUAACCUAGAUCAUCAAGACGAACAAGAAUAGAAAGUAAAAUGCAAGGUGUUAACAGCAUUGCAAAAUGUCAUACCAGAAACCUGUGGGAAUGAGCUUUUUGCAUUUUGAGUUAAACUGUAGUAAAUCCAAUGCCAUUAGGGAAGUGGCUAUGGCAUUAAACAAUCUUCCAGUUUUAUUGAAACAUUUAAAGUUUCUGCAAACAGUACAAUGGGUCACAAGUUAUUAUAAAUGGGUUUUACAAUAAAUUUGGCUUUCCUGGGGUUUCGGGGUGUAUAGAUGGCACUCAUUUGCACUUAUCAGAUCUUCUGUAUAUGAAGAAAGGUUUUAGAACCGCAAGCAUUAUCAUUUCAAGAAUGUGCAAAUAAUCUGUGAUAGUGAUCUUAACAUUUUACGUAUUGAUGCAACAUUUCAUGAUACAUUUGUCUGGCUUAACACAACUGAAUAUGCCUAUGCAGGACCUGCAUCAUAAUAGUGAAAAAGUUUGGUUUUUAGGCAAGUAAAACAUCAUGAGCUCUGUCUCAGUAACCUGACUACAAAAUAAUACUCAAUCUAAAAGUAUAUUUAAAGCUGGGAAGGCCGUUAAUAUAUAGUACUAUAGUAAUGUUUAUUGUCAUACCAGGAACACUGUUGACCAUUGUGAGUAUUGAAAGCCAGUUGGAGAUGCUUGUUGGUACAUAGAGUACUGCAUUAUGAUCAUCAUAUGAUGGCCAAUACCAUAAUUGUUAGCUUGUAUUGCAUAACAUGGCAAACACACAUGGGUUUCCAGUGCCCCAACUAUCUGACGAAGAUGCUGAAAUUGAUGUUUCUUAUCAAAUACAUAACAUUGUAUUUUUUGGGAGAGAAGAGGAAACACAGCACUUAGCACCAUGUCAACAUUCAAGGGUGGUUCAAUUGGAUUGUGGAGAACAGACAUUAAAUUUAGUCCAACCUCUGUAUUCUAGUAAUUUUAUGUAGAUAUUUUUAAAACUGCUGUUCUUAAUUAUGUGAACUGAGAGGGCAAGAAUAGCCUAAUUAUUUCUGCCUAUAAUUUUUUUAUUGUGCUUAGUGGAAAUAUACAUAUUUCCUUAACAUUUUUGUGUUUAUAGUAAAGGAUGGAUUCAUAACUAUUUGAAAGCAAAAUUGUGAGGUUGUUUUAUUAAGACAAUGUUUUAAUCUGUCGUGCUCAAUUUGUUCUGUAUCAUUUUAUCUUUAUAUUAACCCCGUUUGUAUGUUGUGUUGUUAUAUAUAUUAUUGUAUAUACUGCUGUUUUAAAUAAUAGAAUAGAAUGAAUAACAAAUCGACUAGUAAUUCAUAAUUCUUCUAGAUUUUGUUGGAUACUUACAUGAAUAUUACUUACAAAAUGAAAAACAUAUUUCAUAAUUUAGACAAAAUGUGGAUCAACCACCACUGAUUUUCGUUCAUUGUGAUAAUAAUAAUAAUAUAAAUAUAAAUAUUUACUAACAAUCACACCACAUUAACUGGUCCUGUGAUAAGUUCGUAAAGAACUUGUGUUACAGGUACCAGAUAACUGAAAUAAAUGUAGGAUUUUUAUUAUACACAUACAUAUAUUUAAUAUACAUCCAUAACCCUGGAAAAGACAUUUAUAUUUAUCAUACAAAAAUCUUCCCUUGGCGGGACUCGAACCCGCGACCCCCUUGUGUAGCGACCAUGUCACUUACCACUACACCAGACGGCCGUUAGAUAAGUUUGAUAAUUAUUUUUUUUGUGUAAUUUUGUUUUAUUUGAAUAAUAAUUCUUAAAUUAGGAAA
Long non-coding RNA from Bombyx mori (domestic silkworm), 2312 nucleotides. RefSeq lists it as uncharacterized. The transcript is spliced from 5 exons. The record is from RefSeq and is a predicted model, not a curated record. NCBI's taxonomy places the organism in Eukaryota, Metazoa, Arthropoda, Insecta, Lepidoptera, Bombycidae.